Molecule: long non-coding RNA, 3784 nt
Filed under: Sorghum bicolor (sorghum)
Lineage: Eukaryota; Viridiplantae; Streptophyta; Magnoliopsida; Poales; Poaceae
Description: long non-coding RNA (SBIC_LNC004572)
Source: RNAcentral
ACCCUAGCACCACAGCACACCGGACGCACAGCCUCUGCGUCCGAUGCCUCAACGGUCAGCGUCCGGUGAGUGUUUCUCUGCAAGGAACACUCCCGCGACUUCUCCAAAAUUUCCACUGGCGUAAUAGAAAAUAUGCACUUCAUUUUCUCAAAAAGUGCCGAACCCAUCCUCUCUCUACCCUUCAAAAUCCACCUCCUUCUCAAAGUGUGCCAACACCACAAUGUGUAAACCAACAUGUGCACAUGUGUUAGCAAUUUCACAAUCAUUUUUCUUUGAAGGAGUUAAGUUAGCUCACUAGGUUCCAAAUGCAUGCACAUGAACAAUGACACCUAGUGGCACUUGAUAACCGCUUAGCCGAAGAAUUCCCCUCUUUAUAGUACGGCUAUCUAUCCUAAAUGUGAUCACAUCCUCUAUGGUGUCUUGAUCACCAAAACCAAAACCCUAAGCAAUACCUUUGCCUUGAUCUCCAUAGGGUUUUGUUUUUCUCUUUCUUCUUUUCCAAGUUGAGCACUUGAUCAUCUUGUGGUCAUCACCAUGAUCAUCACUUGCUCCAUCACUUGGCAUGUACCAACCUCAUUAAGUCUACACACACUUAGUAUAGAGGUUAGUACUAGGGUUUCAUCAAUUAUCCAAAACCAAACUAGGGCUUUCAAUCUCCCUCUUUUUGGUAAUUGAUGACAACCCUUUUUACAAAGAUUUUCAAUAAAAUUUUCUUAGAUUCAUGUUGCUUGUCCAAGCAUUUUACCAUGCACAAAGAUUAUGGACAUGUUUCAUAAACCCAAAAUGGUAGCAAUUGCUCCCCCUACAUAUGUGCUAAGAGUUUGGAUUUGAAAGCUUGCACAUAUCCUUGAAUAGGAAAUAUAGGAGUCAAUUUCUACCAAAUGAUGCUAAGGUGUAAAGAAUGGACCUUUGAAGUGUGAUACCAAUCGGAGUUGCCAAUAUACACCAUCCUUAGCACCAUUAGUAACUAGACAUUCAUAAAACUAGAACACCCCGUGAGAUCAACAUUAUAAACAAGUUUCUAGUACCACUUGUGAAACAACUAAAAGUCUAGUUACACUACCUAUGCAUGCUAGUCUCUUUUUUGUUUUUUUUGUGUGUCUACCUGCCGCUGAUUGAGCUAUUUUUUGUUUUUUUUUGUUUUCUUUGUGUGUGUGUGUCUACGCCUGCUGCUUAUUGAGCUGUUAUUUUUUUCUCGUGCAUUUGAUUUUAUGUAGUUGUUAUUUGGAAUGUAUAAUGCUAGAUUUGAGGAUGCCUUUGUUAUUUUUGGCUCAAUGUCUUUUUUUUAUUUGUAUGAGAUUUGUUAUAAAAUUUUUGAGUACUCUGUGCUGAUCCUUUGUUUUUUUAGCUCAAUGUGUCUUUCUUUAUUUGUAUGAGAUUUAUUAGAAAUUUUCUAGAGUAUUUUGUCAUGUUUAUUUGUUCCCAGGGUCUCUGUCUCUCUCUCUCUAUGCGUCUGUGUGUGUGUCUUUGUGUGUGUUUCUCUAUUUUUGUGGGGUGUGGGCGGGUGGGUGCUACCUUUUGUGAGAAUAUGAGUGCAUCUCCCUCUGAUUGAUUUAUGUUUUUGGUGAAAUGCGGAUGUAUGAUAUAUUCCAGCUCCCCUAACCAAGAUUCAUGUUGAAGUCUUUUUCUCUGCUACCAUGUCUUCUAAGGCCCCUGAGAUUACCCGCAAGUUCAUGAAUAACAACUUAUUGACCUGUUAGCAAGAACUUAGCAACUACAAGUUCCUAGAUCGGAAUUUGGACUCAGAGUGUCCUUACUCCUUAUUUACCAAAUCUUAGAGUUUACAUGUUUUAAUUUUUAGAUGUGGUGAUUAUUUGAUUUUGUGAGGGAGCAUUAGAAGGUGUUUGUUGAGAUUAGUUUUUUAGUUGUUGCUGUCAUAGUUGUUUGCUAGCUUUGAUUUAUUUGCUAGCUUGAAUUUAUUUCUUGGUAAUUUAUAUGCUUAUUCUUUUGUGGUUUGUUUUCAUGUUUUGUGAUUUCUAUUUUUUUCUUGGUGCAAUUAUACUUUGAAUAUGUUGUGGGUGGGGUGCUGUGGGCCAGUGGGGGCUUUUUCUUUGCCAUUUGUGUUGGUUGGUUGUUUGGAUACCUAUUCAGGACCAGAGGUAGUAGUCUGCUAUUCUUCCACCUAUCUUCUAUGUGGCUAUGGUUCCGUUUUGUUUUAUUUUCUGGGUGUCUUGUAAGUUGCUAUAUGAAUGGGUGACAUUUAGAGCUAUCGCGUUAUUUGUUCUGAAUGGCAGUUAUAUUUAUGUUUCCUUUCUUUGUUGGCUGUAGUGCAGUCCUACAUCGCUAUAUCUGUGGUGGAUGGCUGGAUGCUUGAAUUUUUUUCAAGUAAUUUAUACGCAUGUUCUUUGUCAUAGUUGCUUGAAUCUUUUUUAGGUAAUUUAUAUGCUUGUUCUUUGUGGUAACAGAGAUCUAGGUAUUUUGGAUCAACUAUGUAAUUCUUCACCAAACCAAAGAAUUACAAGGUUUUGCAUGCACUGCAAUCUGCUAUCGAGCACAGUGUGGGUAGCAGCAGCAAAAAGCAGCGCUGCAUUUUUUGUUAUUGGGUUGUGGAUCUUUUUGAUGGAUAUGCCUUGUGUAAUAAAAGUUGACAGAUUUUUUGUUGGAUCAUCUGUCAGUUUUUUUCCUGCUGACGUUUCAGCUUUUCAUUUGUCAAAAAAUUUGACAAAUUUUUGGUAUCAAAAUCUAUCAACAGAUAUUUAGAUAGACCCAAAAAUAAUAAAGGAUAGUUAUCCCGAUUCAUUGAAGUGCACAUGUUGUUUACAGGAAACUAAAGAUAAUAAAGGAUAGUUAUUUCAAUCCACUGGAGCGCACGGCUUGUUUAAAAGAAACUAACGAAGCAUAGAUAAGAAAAGUAGAACAAAGAAUAUAAAAGAACAAAAUAGUAUAUUUCUUUUUUUGUCAAUGUUGGAUGUAACCUCUACCGACCUUAGGAGGUGUUUUGGUGGGAUGUGUUAAAAUUUAAUAGGUACUGUAAUAUUCAUUUUAUUUGACAAUUAGUGUUCAAUCAUAGACUAAUUAGAUUUAAAAGAUUCGUCUCAUAAAUUAUUUUCUUUAUUUAUUUUUAGUUUCAUAAAUAAUAUAUAUAUUUAGUGCUCCAUGCAUGUGUCCAAAUAUUUAAUAUGAUGAGAGUUAAAAAAAUAAGGAGGAAUCAAACAGGACCUUAACCCCAUGUAUAUAGGAUGAUCUAGACUUUGAUCUUACAGAUGACUGCUUCCUCUAUCUGUCCGAUUCCUCAGCAUGUGCAUGCCGCAAUGCGCAUGACAGGCUUGGUCUUUGCAUCGCUAUCUUCCAGCGAACGUGUUUGGUUGAGAAAAUAUCUAGUGCAAACUCAAUUAUAAGUACAAACCUGCAAACUUAGAUCGUGCAUCACUUGAUACCAGAUGUGUGGCGUAUAGAGUCUUAUGGCACAUUUUGUAUCUACCUCCCCACAGUGCCUCUGUGCCUUUUCCAAUGUGAACCCUGAACUAGAGAGAAAAUAUGUUGCCACCUCAAUUUGAAUCGAUUCCUCAUAUGUUCCUUGCAACUGAAGCUUCCUUCCCACCUAAGUUUCCUUUGCUGGUACUGUAGGUACCUGAGUUUCUCCUCUGCUUGACACCCCUCCAUUGAUCUCAUACUUUACCCCAAUUCUAGAAGACCUAGGGAUUCUGUUCUUCUUCAUUGGGGUUGUCCAAGGCAGUGGACGUCUCGCCGACAUCACAAUACAUGAGUUCUGCCUCCUACAUAGCAUCUAUUUACAGUAAGAUACUAAGAUCAUUCCACCUUCACCCAUUAUUGCUACUCUUUG